Molecule: long non-coding RNA, 3772 nt
Organism: Centrocercus urophasianus (Greater sage-grouse)
Lineage: Eukaryota; Metazoa; Chordata; Aves; Galliformes; Phasianidae
Exons: 5
Source: RefSeq, a predicted model, not a curated record
CUGGGAGCCUUCUACACGGCGCCGUAAGCCCGCACUUCUCUCAGCACCGCAGGUUCGAAUCUCGCGUUCGCCCACUGUGCCUCGCUGAGCUUAGAUGACAAGCCUGGCAUGGUCAGCAGGCAGUGACUGCUCUGGGAGUCAUGGCAAGUAAGAAGUACAAGAGAAAAAGCCUUUUCCUGCUGCAGGUAGCUGCUCUUAGCUCCCGGAAUACAGAAUAACUGUGGAUGGAAGAAGAGUUUGUGGCAGCACAGGAAUAAGUGAAGUCAAGGUCAAAGUUGGCAGCUGAUAGAAGCAGAUGUUCGAGCAAGAAAUGGAUGAGACCAGCAACCAAAUGUAUUUCCUCUUCAUUGUCUGUUUUCAGGCUUGCGUGAGUUUGUGAUUAGGUGACACAAAGCUAGUGCAUAGGAAGCUGUACAGAUCCCCAAACACCCUUAGGAUUCAAGCAUUAAUCUUUCUGUGUUGUUUUCUGUUGGUGAGAGGAAUGAGCUGCACCCACAUGCGUGUGCUGGAGUAGCAGCAAAGCUCCAUUGGAGGUGAAUGGAAAAGAUUGGUAAUGGGCACAGAGCAGAAAACCCCAUAUAUAUUCUGCUCAGCUGCAUCACGCUGUCAUAGCUCCUCUUGGGUGUGGGAUAGGAGGUGUUUUUGACAUUGAGCAGUGCUGUGGGAAUUGAUCUGCCUCUGAUUUGCUGAGUAGGGAAGUGCAACAGAAAGAAAAACACGAGCUUUCUUUUAAAGCAUGUGCAGUUCUUACAUAGCAUUACGCACUGAAUAUCUCCCCAAAAGUAAUUAAAAAACCAACAUUUUAAUAACUCAAGCAUCCCAGUGAAUAAAAGCCAGUUGUUCUGGUUGCCCUCAUUCUCUCUGUUCCAGCAAUACAGGCAUUGCUCUUACAGCUUUAAGAGUUAUCUGGAGAUGCAGCCAGGCACCAAAACAGAACAAAAUAUGACGCAGAGAUGUCUGUCAUGUUGUGUUUUCACAGAAAUCAGUCUAUGUGAUGACUUCUCCACCCUGUAAUUCAGCCUCUUUUUGUCCCAGGAUAAUUUAAACAUUCGUCUUGGUCAGCUCUGUGCGGAGACAGAGUACAGCACAAGUUUAUAAGGUUGUGAGCAUGAGUUUAUCUAAAUACGAGGCGGUGUUAUUUCUAAACUUUAUAAGACCUAAGUCUUCUAAAGUGGGGCCACUAAAUCUAUCCAUCUCCUCCUUAGUUCUGAUUCAUACAGGUAACUCCCAGUUACCUAGUUCUAAAUACUCCCCCACUAGCUAUGCUCUUUGGUGUGUUAGAAUCUAUUCUCAUCUUUGUGGGCCAUGUAAUUAGAACACUUUCUCUAUCAUUUUCAUCGGCUUCACUGUGAGAAUGAUGUGAUUUGAAGGUCAGCUUUUCUGCAGACCCACUUGUGCUGGAGGAAAUUCUGCGUGCCACUGCAAAGUGAGGCUGGGAUUCCUCAGUGUUCACCAGCACAGGGAAGAACUUAUUUUCCAACAUCUGGGUGAGAUAUUAAACAACAAAUGUCUGCACUUCCUACCAAAGAAACUUAGGAACUCUGCAUUCUCACUUCAUAACAGCCACUAUGAAGAGGAUUAUAGAUUGAAUGCAGAUGAGUGCUCUCAUGGUGAUGCAGAUUGACAUUGCUGCUGCCCGUGCUGCAGCUCAGGCUUUGUCCAGCAGCACCAGUGGGAUGCAACAAGGAAAGCACUGACCAGGAGCAGCAGAACUGGAUGGUAGCAGAAAUGUCAGCAGGAUGCUUGGGUGCAGGAGGGAGUGCAGGUGAGCAGGACACAGCAGGGCUGUGCUGGUGGCAGUGCUGGGGAACAGGGAGGGACACAUGGAGGUGGUGGAGGUAGGGAUGAGAAACCUCUGCUCCGUUUUUCCCACUGCUCUGCCUUGUUAGCCCUAUUCACAGGGUGCCCUUCCAUGCAGCACCUGGGAUUUUAACCUUUAUUCUUGGGAAAUUGUUCACUUCUUGGAGCUGCCGUGGAGCAGUUAUUCACCCUUUCUCCUCCCCUUGUGACAUGGAAAGAAAUUCCCACGCAGCAGCGCAUUGCCCUGCAGCCGGAGCCGGGCUCUGCCCCACACCACAACCUGCCCCAUCUUGUCCUUACCUCCCAGCCUGGCUGCACUGCUCAUCCACCUGCACGCUGCUGUGCUGCCUUUGAUUCCUCCCCGAUGAGAUCAUCCACCUCUCAGCACAAAACACAGAACUGAGCGGUGUAGUCCUGGCAUGGGCUGUUUCACUGUUUCACUGGACUCUUUCAUUCUCUUGCUUAUUCCCUACCGGGCCUUCACAUCUUCUUCUUCUUGUCCUGGUAAAUGGAAAACAGCCCAAUGGUGGCAGUGGUGCAGUUUGGGAGCAUUUGGGGAUGGCUGCUGCACACAUUAAUGGUGAGAGCUGCUGCUCUGAUCUCAGCAGUCCUACAGCACCUGGCUAUCGAUCAAAGCACUGUGCAGGUGCAGAGGCAGAAGGGACCAGCAAGAUGCUGGGGGUCAUUGUCACCCGGAUUCAGGGUGGCGUGGGGUUCAUCAGGUGCUACAUGAGACUGAGGAUGGGCAUGGGGAGGUGCUCACCCCACUCUCUGCAGGGAAACAGGUGAUUAAAGAGUAGUGCCUUCUGCUUGUCUCUCUUUUGCUCUUAAAAUCCCCAGAUCUCAAGAAUAAGUCAUCGUUAGAAUCACAGAAUCAUUAGGGUUGGAAAAGACUUCUAAGAACACCCAGUCCAGCUGCCCGCCUUCCCCCAGGACUGCCCAGCACUGCCUCGUGAUGGGCUCAGAGAUGGGGACUGCUGUGCCCAGUGCUGCUGCACUACUUCCUAUGAAAAAAAAACCCUCGCGAUUUCAAGCAGCCAAUUUGGGGCCUGACUCAGGGCUGGAGGAGGAAAUUCCUUCAGGCUGUUGUUUGUGUUUUCCUAGAACAGGAAAAAAAAAUACACAGCAAGAAGCCUCAGCUGGCUCUGCUCCCCCACCGCACAUAUGGGGCCAGGAGGAGGGACAGAAGGGAUGGAAUCCUUGAGCCGUGGUGUGGACGUGCAUCCCUUCAGGGAUCCUUUGUGCUCCUGAGGCACCACUCGAGGGCAGCCAUGCUUCAAACACAGCAACAAUGCCAGGAACCUUGUGGUUGGGAUGGGCUCUGUGCAUCCAUCUCCUGUUGUGGGGAGCCUCAAGGUCCUGCCGUGGCCAAAACCCCACUCCUGGCUUCUGUGCUGUGGGUUUUCUUCCUGAGAUGGAGCCCAACCUAAGCUAUCCCUAGCUGCAGGUGGGAUGCUGAGAUGGAUUGGCUCCUCUGGGGUGAAAAGAGAAGGGUUUGUGGUCAGUGCAAGCCCUGCUAGUCAUGUUACUGUGCUACACUGGGGAGAAAACAGCAUAAAAGCCACUGCAGCACUUCAACCUCAGCUGGAGGUCAUGCAGGUCCCUUCAGAGGCAGCUAUGUGGGAUGGAGCCUGUGGUUCCAUGACCUUUAAGGCCCCUUCCAACCCAAACCAACCAUUCUGUGGUUCCAUGAUCUUUGAGAUCCCUUACAACUCAACCAUAUUAUAUGGUUCUGUGAUUUUUAAGGCCCCUUCCAACCCAAAUCAUCCAUGGUUCUAUGAUCAUGGUCCUUUCUGAUGCCAAAGAAAGUGGAAAUCAAGCCUUUCCAGCCUUCUUCCACUAUCACAGAGAAACAAAGAAACAAGCAGUGAGCAGGCAGGAGAGCACAGCCUGGCACGUGAGAUUUGCAUGUGAUUUCUGAACUCUGCUGACUUUUAACUUGGAAUUUCUUAUCUAAUAAAGGAAAGGAGAA